AGUAACACGUAAAGAACCUACCUUAUAGACAGGGACAACUAUUGGAAACGAUAGCUAAUACCUGAUAAGAAAGAAACUCGCAUGAGAGAAGUUCGAAAGUCGGAGCAAUCUGACACUAUAAGAUGGCUUUGCGGUGCAUUAGCUAGUUGGUAGGGUAAAAGCCUACCAAGGCGACGAUGCAUAGCCGACCUGAGAGGGUGAUCGGCCACAUUGGGACUGAGACACGGCCCAGACUCCUACGGGAGGCAGCAGAA
This 254-nucleotide ribosomal RNA is filed under the name uncultured Gemella sp. RNAcentral describes it as "partial 16S ribosomal RNA". It matches the Rfam family "Bacterial small subunit ribosomal RNA", at positions 109 to 354 of the family's 1533-position model. The record is from RNAcentral. Lineage: Bacteria; Bacillati; Bacillota; Bacilli; Caryophanales; Gemellaceae.